Molecule: ribosomal RNA, 224 nt
Filed under: uncultured bacterium
Lineage: Bacteria
Description: partial 16S ribosomal RNA
Rfam family: Bacterial small subunit ribosomal RNA
Source: RNAcentral
UAACGCGUGAGUAACCUGCCUCGUACAGGGGGAUAACAGUUAGAAAUAGACUGCUAAUACCGCAUGAGCGCACAGUGCUGCAUGGCACAGUGUGAAAAACUCCGGUGGUAUGAGAUGGACCCGCGUCUGAUUAGCUAGUUGGUGGGGUAACGGCCUACCAAGGCGACGAUCAGUAGCCGGCCUGAGAGGGUGAACGGCCACAUUGGGACUGAGACACGGCCCAA